This 433-nucleotide ribosomal RNA is filed under the name uncultured bacterium. Its description in RNAcentral is "partial 16S ribosomal RNA". It matches the Rfam family "Bacterial small subunit ribosomal RNA", at positions 29 to 507 of the family's 1533-position model. The record is from RNAcentral.
AGCGAACGCUGGCGGCAGGCUUAACACAUGCAAGUCGAGCGGGCACUCCGGUGUCAGCGGCAGACGGGUGAGUAAAACGUGGGAACGUACCCUUCGGUUCGGAAUAAUGCUGGGAAACUAGCGCUAAUACCGGAUACGCCCUUUUGGGGAAAGGUUUACUGCCGAAGGAUCGGCCCGCGUCCGAUUAGCCAGUUGGUGGGGUAAUGGCCUACCAAGGCGACGAUCAGUAGCUGGUCUGAGAGGAUGAUCAGCCACACUGGGACUGAGACACGGCCCAGACUCCUACGGGAGGCAGCAGUGGGGAAUAUUGGACAAUGGGCGCAAGCCUGAUCCAGCCAUGCCGCGUGAGUGAUGAAGGCCUUAGGGUUGUAAAGCUCUUUUGUCCGGGACGAUAAUGACGGUACCGGAAGAAUAAGCCCCGGCUAACUUCGUG